RNAcentral lists this small nuclear RNA (109 nucleotides) under Dasypus novemcinctus (nine-banded armadillo). The record is from RNAcentral. Lineage: Eukaryota; Metazoa; Chordata; Mammalia; Cingulata; Dasypodidae.
UCUUUCCUUGUUCAGCAGAGCAUAUACUAAAAUUGGAAUGAUACAGAGAAGAUUAGCAUGGCCCCUGCACAAGGAUGACGCACAAAUUCAUGAAGUGCUCCAUAUUUUU